CCCUUAGAUGUUCUGGGCCGCACGCGCGCUACACUGAUGCAUUCAACGAGUUUCUUCCUGGUCCGAGAGGAAUGGGUAACCUUUUGAAAGUGCAUCGUGAUAGGGAUAGACUAUUGCAAUUAUUGGUCUUCAACGAGGAAUUGCUAGUAGACGUAGUUCAUCAGACUGCAUCGAUUACGUCCCUGCCCUUUGUACACACCGCCCGUCGCUCCUACCGAUUGAAUGCUCAGGUGAGCCAUUCGGACCUUCAUCAUGCCGGUUUCCGGUUUUGAUGAGGGAAAGUCUUGCGAACCUUAUCAUUUAGAGGAAGGAGAAGUCGUAACA
RNAcentral lists this ribosomal RNA (324 nucleotides) under uncultured eukaryote. RNAcentral's name for it is "partial 18S ribosomal RNA". It matches the Rfam family "Eukaryotic small subunit ribosomal RNA", at positions 1470 to 1796 of the family's 1831-position model. The record is from RNAcentral.